Molecule: ribosomal RNA, 497 nt
Filed under: uncultured bacterium
Lineage: Bacteria
Description: partial 16S ribosomal RNA
Rfam family: Bacterial small subunit ribosomal RNA
Source: RNAcentral
GAUGAACGCUGGCGGCGUGCUUAAUACAUGCAAGUCGAGCGAACGGACGAGAAGCUUGCUUCUCUGAUGUUAGCGGCGGACGGGUGAGUAACACGUGGAUAACCUACCUAUAAGACUGGGAUAACUUCGGGAAACCGGAGCUAAUACCGGAUAAUAUUUUGAACCGCAUGGUUCAAAAGUGAAAGACGGUCUUGCUGUCACUUAUAGAUGGAUCCGCGCUGCAUUAGCUAGUUGGUAAGGUAACGGCUUACCAAGGCAACGAUGCAUAGCCGACCUGAGAGGGUGAUCGGCCACACUGGAACUGAGCCACGGUCCAGACUCCUACGGGAGGCAGCAGUAGGGAAUCUUCCGCAAUGGGCGAAAGCCUGACGGAGCAACGCCGCGUGAGUGAUGAAGGUCUUCGGAUCGUAAAACUCUGUUAUGAGGGAAGAACAUAUGUGUAAGUAACUGUGCACAUCUUGACGGUACCUAAUCAGAAAGCCACGGCUAACUACGUG